GACGAACGCUGGCGGCGCGCUUAACACAUGCAAGUCGAACGGAAAGGCCUGCUUUCCCUUGUGGAUUGCGGGUACUCGAGUGGCGAACGGGUGAGUAACACGUGAGUGAUCUGCCCCCAACUUGGGUAUAAGCCUGGGAAACUGGGUCUAAUUCCCGAUAGGACUGCAGGGUGGUGCCUGUGGUGGAAAACGAUUUUCUAGUGGUUGGGGAUGAGCUCGCGGCCUAUCAGCUUGUUGGUGGGGGAAUGGCCUACCAAGGCGGCGACGGGUAGCCGGCCUGAGAGGGUGGACGGCCACAUUGGGACUGAGAUACGGCCCAGACUCCUACGGGAGGCAGCAGUGGGGAAUAUUGCACAAUGGGCGGAAGCCUGAUGCAGCGACGCCGCGUGGGGGAUGACGGCCUUCGGGUUGUAAACUCCUUUCGACCGCGAGGAAGCCACCUGGUUGGAAGGGUGGUGACGGUAGUGGUAGAAGAAGCACCGGCCAACUACGUG
Molecule: ribosomal RNA, 494 nt
Filed under: uncultured bacterium
Lineage: Bacteria
Description: partial 16S ribosomal RNA
Rfam family: Bacterial small subunit ribosomal RNA
Source: RNAcentral